UAGGAAUCCAAUAUUGUUUCCAGGGCUUGGUUUUGGGACAUCCUGGGAUAGUGGCAGUAUUUUAAGUGAAAUGAAGAACAUGAAGAAUGAAACAUAGCAUAUUUGGGAAAAGAUACAAGCAAUCGGACAUAAAGUCGUACAGCUGAGCGAGGGAGGAAGUAUUUUCAUCCUCAUUCAGGGCAACAGCUGGUUAUUUCUCUACAAAAGAAUCACUUUCUCUACGGCUAUGUGGCCCAAGCAGACUGCGAAGAGGAGCAUUCUGCUCAUCAAGAAAGGCCAACAGAGACAGCAAGAGAGCAGAAGCGGAGGACUGGGGCUCCAGUAAGUGGAUCCUGCACCCCUUGCCAGUGGAAGACAUCCGACAGCUAGCUGUGGAAACCCCUCCACACCCUCGUCAGCACGAGCCAGGAUGGUGAGAGCCCCAGCAGCGCCAAACCAGGCAGAUGAAAAUAACACUGUGAAGGUUCUGAAAAUUAAACUGCUGUCGGAAGCAUCCCCCACAAAUUAGGCCAAAGGCUGACUUCUAAACCUAAAAGACUUUAACAGGACCCAAAGUAUUAUAACAUAAUAGAAAAAAAUGUCCAGAACACCAUCAAAAAUCACCUAUAACACCCAAAGCCAAGAAAAUCACAACUUCAAUGAGAAAAGACACUCAACUGAUGCCAUACCAGGGUGAACGCCAUACCGUAUGAUGCCAUUUCAUAGGAUGAAUCAGACAUUGGAAUUAUGCAAUUGUAUGACAAGGAUUUUAAAGAAGUAGUUUAAAAAAAUUCUUCAAAAUUCAAUUACCAAUUCUCUUGAGACAAAUGAAAAAAUAGAAAACCUUAACAAAGAAAUGGAAGUUAUAUAUAAAAAAAGAGCCAAAAGGAAGUUAAGAAACUGGAAAAUACAAUAGCAGAAAUUUUUAAAAAUCUCACUGAUGAGCUCAAUAGUAGAGUGGAAAUGCCUUAUUAAUCAAGACUGUGUGGCGUUAGUGAAUGGAUAGACACGUAGAUCAAUGCAACAAAAUAAAGAUCCUAGAAAUAGGCCCACACAAAUGUGCUCAAUUGAUUUUCGACGAAUGUGAAAAGUGAGUUUAAUGGAGGAAAGAAAACUCUUUAAUCCCAUGGUGCUGGAGCACGUGGGCAACCGUAGGACAAAUAAACAAAAAUUACCUUAACCUAGCCUUCACACAGUAUAUGAAAACUGACUCAAAAUUGAUCAUAGAUUUUAAAUAUAAAACU
This 1223-nucleotide long non-coding RNA is filed under the name Equus caballus (horse). RNAcentral describes it as "lncRNA (ENSECAG00000051772.1)". The record is from RNAcentral. Lineage: Eukaryota; Metazoa; Chordata; Mammalia; Perissodactyla; Equidae.